RNAcentral lists this long non-coding RNA (6526 nucleotides) under Elaeis guineensis (African oil palm). RNAcentral describes it as "long non-coding RNA (EGUI_LNC009262)". Lineage: Eukaryota; Viridiplantae; Streptophyta; Magnoliopsida; Arecales; Arecaceae. The record is from RNAcentral.
UGUUGCUUUCUCCUGUUCUUGAAUCUGCUUUACCAGGCUUUGUUGUGGGAUGGAUGGUCACAAUCCCACGUUUGUACAUCUGCUACGGCAGGCUGUUGAGCUGUUACUUUGUGCCUCCUGGAAGACCAUUGUUUACCCUUCUUUAUGUUCUUUUAUAUGAUUUCAUUUUAUCUCAACGACAUCCUUGACCUCUGGUCAACCAGGCAACAGUGAGCUGAAAUGCUGUUAUCGAGAAAAUACACAAUCAAGAUAUCCUGAAGCCAAAAAGAAGGGAAAAAACAAAAAAAACAAUUCAAGAGAAAUUCAUUUGAGAAUACAUGUUAUUCUAAUUACACUGACUAAAUCUGACAAAAGUUAUAAUGACCAAAUUAGACUUCAAUAUGGCCAUCUUGUAUAAUAGUUCCAUGUUAACGAGAAAAUGAACACUGCCAUGCACACACUAUAUUCUCGUUACUUUUACUGUUAUCCUUACAUAUGCAUUUAUUGGAUCUAAUGCUUACCUUGUCUUAAAGCAGCAAAUACAGCAAUCAAAGGUUAUGAGCAAUGACAGAAAAAAGACCGUGCUCCCAAACACUGCAACGUAUACAAAUGAAGAAAUCACAGGGAAACAGGUUUCCAGACAGGCAAAAGAACAUAUUUGCCAGGAUCUAAUGAGAGCUUUUGCUCCUAAACACAUUGCAACUGUCUAAAAACACCACACAACCUCUAGGUGCUUCUAGGUUUCAAUCUCUUUCAGCACCUCCCACCUUUUUUUCCCAGGGGAAGAUAAUUCAAAUCUUUUGGUCAUCAAACUCAAGUUAUAAAAGCUUUUCAAACAGCUAGCUAUUGUUCACCUUCCCUAAGCCUAAUCAUGACAUUUGCUGUUCUUUCAUAUGCUUUUAUUAGAUCUAAUGCUUGUCUUAAACCGCAUCUACAGCAGCCAAAGGUUGCCAGUUAUGAUGGAAAAUAGAUGAUACUCCAGAACACUGCAACAUACAGAAAUAAAGAGAACACAGGAAACAGAAUUCCAUACAGGCAAACAUCAUGAUGAAACAUCAAGCUAAAGAGUAAAGAGCUCCACUAUAAGGGAUCCAAACACAAAACCCGUGGACUAUGGCAAUCAUAGUGCAGUAUCUUAUCCAAAAAUUAGUCCCGUAUGCUCUGAAAACCCAUCCUCUAUCACAUCCAGAAAGACAACUCCGGUUCAUCUUAGCUUAUAAAAACAAAACGAAAAUCCUGGUAGUCAUUUUAAAUUCUUGAACAUGCAGCGAGUUGCUUUAAAGAAAUAAACCUUAAAUUUAGUGAUUGCAAAAGCGAACAUGGAUGCAGAAUCAGCCAAACAGAAAAAAAAAAAAUGAAUCAGAAACUGCACAAUAAAAAUUUUGCAUGCCUCAAAGGCUGUAUUGCACAUGGUCUAAGCUUAAAAUUUUAAAUUAGCUCCCUUAAUAGUUUACCUCAAAGGGCUGUAUUGCACCUCUGCCCAACAUGUAUACAUGCUACUUCUAGAUCACUCAUUAAUAAACUCCAAAUUAUUGAAUCUUCCAUAAUACUGCCAUCUCAAAAUUGUGGUCACCACCAACCCUCUCAGAUCUUCUAUGGGUUCUUGCAACAUGCAUCCAAUGGAAACUUUCUUCCCUCCUAGAUAUCUCACGUUAAUACACUAUCUCAUCCAGAACCGAAUUCCAAUUUGCUGAAUAACCUACGUUAAUUCCUCCACCAUAUCAAGUUACCAACUCAAUGAUUAGCAUUUAACUUACUUUCUCUUCACAUCCAAAUUAGGAACUUAUAAAAACUCAUCAAGCAGUACAAAAGAAUCAAAUAGCAAGAAAGAUUUCUAAAAGUCCUUGCAACUAUCACAACCCCACUUCUGAUAUAUUUCUUCCUCGGACUUUGUAAUCAUUUCAAGCUCCAUAGAUCCUGGUUAUUUCCAUUUAGUAUUUUUGAUAUUGCAACAUCAACUCUGUUCUUAAUUCUAUCCAUCUUUUCCACUCAAGCUCAGAAGCAGCAUCGAUGAUGCUCAAGUCACAUGUUCAAAAAGGAAAAGUAUUAAAUCACAAAUGCUAAAGAAUAUAUAGAAUUGCCACAAAAUGAAUUCAAAACACUGAAUUAUUAGGCAAUGCAAAUAGGUCAGGUCAAGCUAAAACCUUAUCUAUACUUGUACAAAUUAGUUUGUACACCCACAAUCAGGACCAUUUGCGGAACUACAUGGUUUAGAAACAGGCCAUUCAGGGUGAAAGAAAUUAAAUAAUACAUAUCUUAUUCUGCUUUCCCAAUUUAGGGUUGAUGCUGUAGAAGUUGGGUCUAGGAGGAGUACAAAUCCAUUAGAGUUAGCUACAAAAUGUUUCCUAUUUUCUUUUAGGGCCUAUUUGGUUGGGGGUAAUCUGGCAUGGGAAAAUGAAUCCCAUGUCAGAUUACCAUGUUUGGUAUAAAAAAAGGAAAGCGAGAGAUAGUAAAAAAAAAUGGUGGGCCCCAUGCUUAUUUUCUAGAGAGAGAAGGUAAAACAAAUACCGUGGGAGGGUUAGUAUCUAGUAAAUUCCCAAGUGAUGGUAAUCCACAUUUGACAAAAAUACCCCCAAUAAAGCUGCUAUGCAAUCAUUAAAUUUGUUUGAUAUCUUUCCAAAUUCACUCAAUAGAGAGAUUUUGCAAAAAAAUUAAGAUGGGAAUGACAUUAUGCAAAGGGCUAUAUAAUGAUAAUCAUUAUAUUAAACUGAUGGAGAUGACAAUGCUAUAUUGGAAGGUAUAUUGGUAAAUUUUACCAUAUUACCAUAUAGCAUUAUCUCCAACCAAACACAGUAAUCUUUUUCCCAUGUCAUUUUUCGGAGUAAUUUUUCCAUCAACCAAACAUAGUAAAAGUUAUUUUCCUCUAUAAACAUUUUUUCAGAUAAAUGAUUCCUAGGAAUCGUUGAAAUACCCCAUAAUCUGGAACACCCCAACCAAACGGACCCUUAGCUUUUCUAGAAAGUUUUCAAGUCAUGGGUUGGCUACUUAGUUUAUCAGUAAUUGACUGCUUAUUCGAUUUUCUUUAUUCUUGUAGCACGUCUUUAUGAGUCUAUAAAUAUGUAGUGCCCUAGGAGUCACCUAUCGAAGCAAUCAAUUCAAUAAAACUGGUUUAGAAGGAUUUUGGAGGUCCUAAUUCCCUUGAAAUGAUCAAUUAUCCCUUCUUUUUCUAUUUUUAUUUUUCUUUCCUUUUAUUCAUAAUACAACUAGUAGGGACCUAAGGUCCUGUUAAGCUGAUAGUCCCCAUGCACAUCUCAAGUCUAUGCCACAACUAUUAAAAAUCCUCACCAAAUUAUGGAUGAUCCACAGUCACAGCUUGAUACUAGACAUGAAGCAACGCUGAAGGCAGAGUUUGAUCAAAAGCUCAGUCAAUUUAAGGACAUCCUUCUGUCAACUCUUCAUGCCACAGUUAUUCGAGCCUUUGAGCAAUCCUCAAGAAUUGCUAGAAACCAGCUUCAACAUUAACCACUACUAUUAAAAAGCAACUUUAAGGAUAAAAGGAAGAUUUGCAAGACCAAAACCCUGAUAAGAAGGAAACUAAAACAAUAGCAUCAAAUGAAGAGUAAAAGAAUCUCAUGCAUAUACAUGUAACUCAAUUAACACAAAGAUGGUGAUUCUUCAAGAGGGAUGUCACAAGCAUACAAGUAUGAAUCACAUAUAAGAAAAUGCUCAUUGAGGAUCUUAUUGAUCAGUUUGGGUUCUACAGUAUAAAUAUGUGCAUAGCAAAUUAGCUAAUACUCACUAAACGAUAGAAUUUCUGGUCAACAUGUUAGUAACAAAAUACCAUCAUGAUAUCCAUCAUGAAGUAAAGACUUGUAAAUCUUGUGCUAGGAUGGUGACAAUCUCAGCUACAAGACUAACAGAGUAGGUCUUUAAUUAGAAUGAUUAACAGAGUAGGUCUUUAAUAAGAAUGACUAACAGAGUAGACCUUUAGUAGGACUUGUAAAUCUUGUGCUAGGAUGGUGACAAUUUCAGCUGCAAGACUAAUAGAGUAGGCCUUUAAUCAGAAUGAUGGUUGUGAUCAAGGUUCACAAAACUAGUACCCCGAGCCAUAUCGAUCUAGUACCAAGUCAAUAGGGUACCACAUCAUGCCAGUAUCAAUCAAAUGCCGAGGCACCCAAUCUAAAGUUUUGCCAAAUAUCUAGAGCAAGAAGGGAGGGAAGGAAAGGGUUCCACAACCUAUUGGCGACAACUGGAAAUGGUGGUGGUGGAGCCUAUGCUUGCCAUGAGCCCACAAGCAUCAAAUUUGGGCUGUCAGAUGGGGGUCUUGGGGUGGAUCACUAGCAAAGUGAAAGUAGAACGCUAUGAGGAAGUCUUGAAGGUUAUCGCUGAGAAGUUUGAAGGUGGAGUCUUUUGCCGUUGGCGAGAAAUCCAGUGGUGAGAGCAAGAGAGAGAAGAGAGGAAAGAAAGAACGGAUCAACGGGGGGAUGAAAGGGUUUUAUAAACCAUGAUUGGUUCAACCUAGCCAAACCAAGUCAAUACCACCCAAACUGGGCAGAACUAAGCAGCUUCACUUCGGAUUGGUUUUGACAUGUUUUUGUGUUGCCCCGAACAGACAUGUGAAACUGACCCAGUUCUGUACUAGCUCAAACAAUAUGCCUUGAACUACGUGAUUUGGAUCAGUUUCACAUACCUUGGUCAAGAUGCACUAGGAGAAGAUUCAUCUUGGAGGACAAGGUUGUUUUAGAGGGAGAAGGAAUGAAUCUCUUUUUUUAUGGUCUCCUAAUUUAGGGUUCAUCUGCGGUAGAAGUUUUUCAAGAUUCCAAAUCCAUUGAAGAUGGGUUAUCUAAUGUUUCCUGUUUUAUUUUUCCUUUUCUAGUAAGUUCAUGGGCCAUGGGUUGGCUAAUUAGUUUAGGAGUAAUUAAUGUAGGACAACUAAUUAAUGUAGUGUCCAAUGACAAGUUAAUGAAAUUGCCCUAAAAGAUUCUACAGUUCCCAUCACACUCGAAGUGAUCAAAUAUCCCUUCUUUUUCCACCUUUGAAUUUCUUUCUUUUUGCUCAUAAUACUAUCAAUAGAGACCUAUGACCAUGGUUCACCAAACCGUCAAAACCAGACGGCUCGGGGCAUGCAGAACCGUACCGGCAGCUAACCGGUGCAAUUUAGGUGUUCGAUUCGGAACAUCGACGAAAACAGAAGAGGAAGAAGGAAAGAGAGGAAGAGAGAGAGAAAAGGGAAGAAAAGAGAAGGAAAAGAAAAGGCUAGCAGUGGCUAGUGGUGGCCCACUGAGGCCUCUAGGGCUCCUGAUCCUCUGCGAGAUGUGAGAAGAGAAAGAAAGGAGAGGAAAUGAAGUGGCGAAAGGCGGCAGGGAGGCCGUUGGAGGGCCGCUAAGUGACCGCCAAAUGGCUCAAAACAGCCGGGUGGCCGCCACAAGUUCAAAACAAGGGUUCAUCCCUAUUUUAUCGUAUUUUUUAAAAAACAUGAUACACGAUAAGGCCGGCAAUCGGUGGCCACCCGACGGCCUCCAUGCCGCCUUCCACUCCCUCGUGUUCCGCUUCUUUCUCCUCUCUCUAUCUCUCUCCACUUUAUUUUCUCUCGCAGAAGACCGCGGAGCCUAGGAGACCUUGGUGGACCUCUGGCAGCUGCGGUCCUCAGAUGGCCACCGCCGACGUCUCCACUGGCCUCCCUUUCCUUCUCUCUCUCUCCCUCCCUUCCCCCCUCUCUCUUUCUCUCUCUUUUCCUCCCCAGUUCAUCCAUCAUUUCCGUGUCCGUUCGAGUACGAUACAAUUCGAUAUGGGAGCAUACCAACUCGUAUAGCCGACUGGCCGGCAUGGGAUCCAGUUUCGAAUUGUCGAUCCUUGCCUAUGAUCAUGUCAUUAAAUCCAACUAAGAAUUUUGCAGUUUAUACCUAGCAUUGCUCAAGAUUUUUGAAAUGGUUUGACCUAAAUAGCGGAAAUGAGAAGGCUCCCAACCCAAACAACUUCAACCAAGAUUCAGCCUGGUAAAUGUCCUUUAACCCCUGCAGAGCAAGAAAGUACUUGAGCCUAUCUCUCAAACCAAUCUCUAUAUUGUACCUAUAAAUCUCACUAAUAUUUUCCCAUCAAGAAAAGGGAGAACUAAAUUAACCAUCUAGAAAAAUGAUAAUAUGACCCUUAAUUACAGCUAUAAACCAAGUUCCCAUCUAACAUGUGGCAAAAGCCUCAUCACUGACCAUAAAUCCAAGCAGCUAUCCCCUCUUUCCUAAAGAUGGUUCCAUUAUGAUGAGAUAGUAAGUACUCAGCAUUCUGUGAGUUGAUCAAUAAUCCAUUAAAGCUAUUAAUCAUUGUUGCCAAAACUAAAAUAACUGUGCAGCUGAGACUAAAUAGAACAUGAGGCCAGCAUUACCUUUAACAAACUCUGUGUCCAUGGCAACAGCACCUCUUCCUUCUGCAUGCAGCUGUGAUUAGCAGAUAGAAAGAGGAGCACAAAGUAGAAAUUAAGCAUAAGUCCAUGAUAUAUAAUUAGCUAAAAAUGUAGUGCUGUUAGCAACCAAAUCCAAGAAGAUUUAAAAAGAUAAUGCAAUUCAAAGACCAUUUUCAGCAAGUUUGAGCUUAACUAUCGAGAACCAUACCA